This 117-nucleotide ribosomal RNA is filed under the name Helicobacter pametensis. The record is from RNAcentral. Lineage: Bacteria; Pseudomonadati; Campylobacterota; Epsilonproteobacteria; Campylobacterales; Helicobacteraceae.
CCCUGUGUCUAUAGAGAGGAGGUCACACCCAGCUCCAUUCCGAACCUGGAAGUUAAGCUCCUCAUCGCUGAUGAUACUGCACUUUUCAAGUGUGGGAAUGUAGGUCGAUGCAGGGUU